RNAcentral lists this ribosomal RNA (253 nucleotides) under uncultured bacterium. RNAcentral's name for it is "partial 16S ribosomal RNA". It matches the Rfam family "Bacterial small subunit ribosomal RNA", at positions 524 to 776 of the family's 1533-position model. The record is from RNAcentral.
UACGGAGGGUGCAAGCGUUAUCCGGAAUCACUGGGCUUAAAGGGAGCGUAGGCGGGCUAUCAAGUCUGGGGUGAAAUCCCACGGCUCAACCGUGGAACUGCCUCAGAUACUGACGGCCUCGAGGGAGAUAGGGGCAUGCGGAACUGUAGGUGGAGCGGUGAAAUGCGUUGAUAUCUACAGGAACUCCGGUGGCGAAAGCGGCGUGCUGGAUCUCUUCUGACGCUGAGGCUCGAAAGCUAGGGGAGCAAACGGG